AUAAAUCUGAGCAAUAAAUGAGAUAACGAGACCAAUAGAGUGUGUUACAAAGCAGAGAGAAUGUUCUAGUAUAUGUAGUAUGGAGUAACAUAUGUUUACAAAAUGACAAGGAUCCCCUUUAUAUAAGAGGGGGAAUCCCAACAUAGAACAAGUGCAUUUAUUACAAAGAUAUGGAGAUGGAAGACCUAGUUAAUGCCACGAUACAGGCUUAGACUAGCCUGUCAAAAUUUGUUGGCUCUAGCUUCAUGCCUUGGAAACUCCCCAUUUUCUUCCUGUAACCGUCGGUCUCAUACUGUACCAAGGUCGAGUGUCGAUGGUUCUCGAGGGAUGAAACUCGAUCGUGAUUUCGAGCCUUCGAGGUGUCAUAACGAUGGAAAAUUGUACCCUCCGAUUUUACCAUAUACAGCUCUGCUUUCCAAUUCUCCUCCAUGAUCACUUUGGAUUGUUGUAAUCAGAUAUCCCUCUUCUCUUUCAACCUUUUUGCAGAAGAUCUCAAAAAUAUUCAAAGCUUAAUCUUUAUGAGAGAGGAAAAUCACCUAAGUGAAACGUGAAUAAUCAUCAAUAAUAACAAAAGAAUAUCUUUUUCCUCCUAUACUAGCAGUUCUAGUAGGCCCAAAUAAAUCCAUAUGAAUUAAUUGCAACGGUUUAGAAGUAGAUACAAUAUCUUUAUUUUUGAAAGAGUUUCUGGUUUGUUUUCCUAUUUGACAGGCAUCACAGAUAUGUGUUCUAGAAAAAUUCAGUUUGGGUAGACCAAUAACUAACUCAUGCUUGGACAAUUUUUCUAUCAAAUGCAUGCUUGCAUGACCAAGUUUCCUAUAUCAUAACCAUGGAUCAUCAGACAUGGAUGUUAAGCAAAUGUGACCAUCUAUCUUUUCAAAACCAUCAAAAAUAUAAACAUUUCCAUACCUUUUACCUCGGAGGACUAUUUUACCUUUCUCAUCUUAAAUAGCACAGCCUGUUUUCUUAAAAUUUACCACAUAUCGUGAGUCACAUAGUUGACUUAUUCUUAGGAGAUUAUAGUUGAGUGUCACACCUCGAACCUAGGGGGCGAGAUCGGCACCCAGUGCCUCAUCUAUCCUUGCAUACCAACUUGCGACUAAGGGACUCUGAAUAUAUAAUGUCACACUUUGGCCAUGGGACACAUUGCGAGACAAUUGCAAAUACUAACUAAACAACAAUAUAAUUCUGGGCCGACAAGGCCGUCAUAACUACUACAGCUGGCAAAUCAACAAAAUAUUCAUAAAAGGCCUACAAGCCAACAUACUGCACUAACUGACAGGAUAUGUCUACAAGCAUCUACUGAUGGAUAUAUUGUGAUAGGAACAACUCCCUAACCUACUCAUAACUUAUAUACAUAUAUAUACAAAAUGUACAUAAGGCUCUCGACCCGGAAACUCCGAAAGGCAUGGAGCUUACUGAUCAAGCUGAACUCGGAUAACACUUAUUGAAGAGGCCUACCCAUCUGUCUAUCUGACCUGCACGCAUGAAAUGAAGCGCCCCCAGAAAAGGGACGUCAGUACGAAAUAAUGUACUGAGUAUGUAAGGUAAUAUACUGAAAGAUGAAAAGCGAUUUUUAGCUGUUUCGUGAUGGGAUAAAGUAGAAGGAGAAAGAGUUGGCACAGAAGGUUGAAGAGCUAAAAGAGCGGGAUGAAGAGGUAAUGAAGGCCAUUGGCCGAAAUAGUUAACUUGAGGCGGACAUUAAGGCCUAUGAGGAUAAGUUUGAGGUGAGCAAGGGGGUGAUGGCCGAGAAUGCCGACCUUCAGGCACGGGUGGCCACCUUGACUGCUGAGCUUGGUCGAAGAGAGGCAGAGGUUGUUGAUCUUAGGGGAGAACUAAGCGUUAAGGAUGAUGAAUUGGUUCAUGCUAAAAAGGGUAGGGUGACUGCUGUUUUUGAGGUAGUGGCUCUGGAGGAUGCCCUUUGGGUUUGUAGGUCUGAGCAUGACAAUGAGAUGGAGACGUCAGCGCUCAAGGUAGUGAGGUUGGAGGAAGGAAUCCAAGAUCUGGAGGCGGAGUUGCCCGUGUUGAACGAACAGGUUGUCACUUUGAAGGAGGAGGAGGUGCGAUGGUAGUCACAACCUUCCAUGUCUCAUACUUCAGUUGAUCCCGUCGUGCCGCAGGAGUUGUAUGAGAUGUGGGUCCAUGUCGAGGUCCAACUUGAAGUGUACAAGUCCCUACAGGCUAAUGGGAAGGUGUCUUAGGCAUAGCUCGAGGGUGUUCGUGUUAAAGCACGUGCAACCCGUAAAGCCUAUGGUUAUGAUCCUGAUACACCUGGCGGGGAUGACGUCGAUGACGAUGAUGAUGCGGACAUGCUUGCCUCUGAUUCUUGGUAUAACGAGGAGUAUGUCAUGGGGGAUGAUGCAGCGUAGGGCUGUUGUAUUUAUUUUGUUUUGCUUUGCUAUUUUUGUGAGGGCGUUUUUGAGCCCUUUGUAAAAAGUUUUUGUAAUACAACAGUUGUAAUGGAAUGAUCACCUUUUUGUUGUGCACUUUCAGAUUGUUAUUUAUUUGCUUUGAUGGGGUUACCGGCUUUCCCGCCGCCUGUGUAUAAUUGUUUUGGCAUAGUUGAUUGUAGGUCUUGGUAAUUCGGGCGAGAUUGAGUGUUUAACUAAUUCGGGCAAGGUCGAAUGUUAAGUAUUUCGAGCGAGGUUGAAUGUUACGUAAUUCGAGCGUGGUCGAAUGUUAAGUAAUUCAAGCGAGGUCGAAUGUUACGUAAUUCCAGCGAGGUUGAAUGUUACGUAAUUCAAGCGAGAUAGAAUGUUAAGCCAUUCAAGCGAGGUCAAAUGUUUUCUUUUGGCGAUGGCCUUUGGCUGUAGAGGUGUUAUUUCGAGUUAGGGUCGAAAUGUUAACCUGUUGCAAUUUGAGAGAGGUCGAAUGUUUUCUUUUGGCGAUGGCCUUUGGCGGUAGAGGUGUUAUUUUGAGUUAGGGUCGAAAUGUUAACCUGUUGUAAUUCGAGCGAAGUCGAAUAUUUUCUUUUGGCGAUGUCUUUUUGCCGUAGAGGUGUUAUUUUGAGUUAGGGUCGAAAUGUUAACCUAUUGUAAUUCAAGAGAGGUCGAAUGUUAAGAUGCAAAAGAAAAUGAUGGAGGGUAAAAUGUUGCUUUAUUUCACUUCGUUGGAGAAUAUCUUGAUGGAGUACAAAAUGUAUCUUGAUGGAGUACAAAAUGCUGCUUUAUUCCAUUUACUGGAGUAUUAUACAUGUCUGUUUCGUACAUAUGUUGGGGAAGUUUUCAUGUAUCUUGUCUCUUCAUCGUUCUUACUAGAGAGGUUGUCGGCAGGCGGGGUAAUGAAUUAUACUUUGAACUUCGAGACGUCCCCCUCGUUGCCUCGUUAAAAACCUCCUCGAGAAAUACCAAUUCGGACAAAACCUGGGUGAGGGAAAAAAGUAUGACUUGAGGGGCAUCCUCUUCAGAAGUUGAAGUAUUUGAGGUGGGCGACAUUCCAGUUAUUUUGUAGUAGUUUCCCUUCCAUUGUUUCUAGUUGGAAUGCUCUUUUGCUUGCUUCCGUUGUGAUUUUGUACGGCCCGUACCAAUUGGUUCCUAGUUUGCCUUCUCUUGGGUCUUUGUUUGCUUGUGUUUUGGCUUUUGAGAACAUAGUCUCCGACUUUGAGUGGUCGUAUUUUGGCCUUCUUGUUGUAGUACCUUUUUGCUUGUUGUUUUUGGGUUACCAUCCUUACGUAAGCCAUGUAUCUUCGUUCUUCUGCCUCGUCGAGGUCUUGUCUUUUGUUCUCGUCAUUGUUUGAUCCGCUUUCGUUGGAGUAUCUCAGGCUAGGUUCUCCGACCUCAACAAGUAUCAUGGUGUUAGUUCCGUAGACUAAUGAAUAUGGCGUUUCGCUGGUGCUUGUUUUUUGCGUGGUGCGAUAGGCCCAUAAUACCGUCGGUAGAAACUUCGGCCAUAGCCCUUUGGUGUCCUCAAGCUUUUUCUUUAAGAUAUUCAAUAUGGUUUUGUUGGAGGAUUCAUCUUGACCAUUGUCAGCGGGAUGAUAUGGCGUGAAGAGUAUUCGUUUGAUGCGUCAUUUUUCAAAGAACUCGAUCGUCUUUUUCUCUGUGAAAUGGGGUUCGUUAUCGCAUCUGAUUUCUUUGGGGAUGCCGAAGCAGCAUAUGAUGUUCCUUCAUAUGAACGUGAUGAUUUCAUGUUCACGUAUCUGGGCAAACGCACUUGCUUCCACCCAUUUGGAAAAGUAGUCAGUUAAAACUAAAAGGAAAUACAUCUUACCUCACCCUGCUGGGAGGGGUCUGAUGAUGUCCAUUCCCCAUUCAAUGAAUGGUCAUGGCGAGGUGACAGAGUGGAGGUGUUCGCCCGCUUGAUGUAUCAUAGGCGCAUACUUUUGGCACUGCUCGCAUUUCUUGACAUAAUCUACGACUUCCUUUUUCAUAGUGGACCGGUAAUAUCCUACCCGAAUGAGGCAUCUAACGAGGGCUUGGUUGCCUGUAUGGGCACCACAGUGGCCUUCGUGUACUUCUUCGAGAACGCGCCUGUCUAACUCGACCCUAGUCAUUUCGCUAAGGGCCCCCAAAUGUUCUGAUGUACAGGUCGUGAUUUACGAUGUUGUACCUGGCCGCUUGCAUUCGAAGCUUUUUGGCUUCCUUUUUGUCUUGUAAGAGUGUUCCCUCCUGCAAAUAUGUCAUGAUGCGGUUGCGCCAGUCCCAAGUCAAAUUUAUGGAAUGUACCUCGAGUUAGUCUAUUGACAAGUGGCGGAGGGUGACCACGUUUUCUUUAGUGAUAUUUUUGGUGGCAGCUGCUAGUUUGGCGAGGCCGUCCACCUUGAUGUUUUGAGCUCGGGGUAUCUGGUCGAGUCAGCAUUCAUCGAAUUCCUGCAGUAGUUUGUAAAUUUCUGCCUGGUACUUUUAUAGCCUUUGUUCUUUGAUUUGGAAAUUUCAUGUGACUUGGUUAAAGACGAGUUGUGAGUCGCAUCUGAGGAUGACUCGCCGUGGUCCAUACUUGAGAGCUAGCUUUAACCCUGCAAUCGGGGAACCGUAUGGACUGGCGCAUAACUUCCCCUUUUGGGACCUCGAGUACGAGUCCCAAUACCGAUCCUAACGCAUUGGAUAUGCCAUCGGUGUAUAGAACCCAAAGGUUGGGUUGCCCAGGGGAGGUACAAAAAGCUUCCUGCUCGACCUCGGGCAUUAUUUUGGCGCUAAAAUCGGCGACAAUGUCGGUGAGUACUUGCAAUUUUAUCGAUGUUCGCGGCUGAUAUGUUAUAUCAUGCUCGCUUAGUUCGAUGGCCCACUUGUCCAGUCUUCCCGACAAUUCGGGUUUAUGUAGGAUGCUCCGUAGAGGUAAGGUCGUCACCACCGAUAUAGGGUGGCAUUGAAAAUAGGGUCUAAGCUUUCGUGAAGCUAUAACCAGUACUAUGACCAACUUCUCGAGUUGGGGGUACCUUAUUUCGGCAUCGACCAGGGUUUUGCUAAUAUACUAAAUCGGAGAUUGUGUACCUUUGUGCUCGCAAAACAGCACCGCGGUUAACGCAACUUCUGAGAUGGCCAAGUACACUAAGAGGCGCUUGCCGAGCUCUACUUUGGCAAGUAGUGGUGGUGAGGACAAAUAUGCCUUUAGUUCUCUCAAGGCAUCAAUGUAUUCUGAAUUCCACUGGAGUCUGUUAUCUUUUUUUAGCAUGUUGAAGAAUUUAUGGCAUAUAUCGGAUGACCGCGAGAUGAAUCUGGAUAGAGUGGCUAUGCGGCCAAUCAAUUUUUCCACAUGUUUCUUGCUGGUCAACACCUGAGGUAUUCCUUCAAUGUCUUUAAUUUGAUCUGGGUUGACCUCGAUGCCUCUUUGUGAUAUCAAGAAAUCGAGAAAUUUGCCUGAGGUUACGCUGCAGGCGCAUUUUUCGGUGUUUAGUUUCAUGUCAUACUGCCUUAGUAUACCAAAGUCUUCCUUCAGGUGAUCGAUGUGGUCUUCUUUUCUUUUUGAUUUAACCAGCAUGUCAUCGAUGUAGACUUCCAUUAUUUUGCCGAGUUGUUCUUUGAACAUCUCGGUGACCAACCUUUGGUAGGUUGCCCCUGCAUUUUUCAACCCAAACGACAUGACCCUGUAGCAGUAUGUUCCCUAAUAAGUGAUGAACGCAGUUUUCUCUUGGUCCUCUUCCUCCAUGAGGAUUUGGUUUUAGCCUGAGUAGGCGUCAAAGAAGCUUAGCAACUCGUGUCCUGCUAUGGCAUCGAUGAGCUGGUCGAUGUGCGUCAAUGGAAAGGAGUCUUUCGGGCACGCCUUAUUUAGGUUUGUGAAAUCUAUGCAUAUCCGCCAUUUUUUGUUUUUCUUUUUUACCAUGACAACGUUAGCGACCAUUAGGGGUAUUUUGAUUCUCGGAUGGAACCGUUGGCGAGGAGCUUCUCCACUUCAUCACUUAUGGCCUCGUUGAUUACGGCAUUGAAUUUCCUUCUUAUUUGUCGUACUGGAAAAUAAAGUGGGUCGACGUUCAACUUGUGUAUGGCCACGUCUUUCGAGAUGCCCUACAUAUCUGCAUGGGAGAAAGCAAACAAAUCAGUGUUGUCAAUUAAAAACUUGUGAAAUUUACCUAGUUUUGAGAGUUUAUGCCCGAUGUAAGCCUUUUUGUUGUUGUCGUUGUUGUUUAGUUGGACGGGAUCGACAUCUUCUACCAUUGAUUCGGCUGCUUCCAUGAUGUUAGGGUCCUUGAUGACAUCUGUUUUUAGGUUGAGCCCAAUCGACGUCCCCCACUGCAGUAAUUGUUAUGCCUCUGUGUCCGCUCCCUUCAUCUGUUGGGUGUACGUACAAUCCUGGGCGAUAUGAUAGCAUUCUAGGAUGGUGUGUUGUUCGCCCCUGAUACUGAAUAUUCCCCAUGGAGUAGGGAACUUGAUUACCUGCUAGAGGCUCGACGGGAUGGCUCUCAUAGCAUGUAUCCAGGGCCGCCCUAUGAUGGCGUUAUAAGCUGUGUCUUGGUUCAUGACAAGGAAUGUUGUUUCCAAGGUGACGCCCCCGGCCAUAAUGGAUAGCGUUAUUUCUCUAGAGGUUCGCUCAACUGCAUUGUUAAAACUUGUUAGUGUUAUGUAGUACGGUAUUAUUUUGUCCUCGAGUCUCAUUUGUGCGAGGACUCGAGGGUGGAUAAUACACACGUCGCUUCUGUCAUCUACCAUUAUUCUUCUUACAUCGGUAUCUAAAAUACGUAAAGUAAUAACAAGAGCAUCAAUAUGAAGGAAAUUCAAACCGUCGGUAUGUAACUUAUUGAAGAUGAUACUGUCUCCGAAAUCGUCGUACCAUUUGUGGGUGAUCGACCGUUUCAGUUUAUGCGUGGUUAUGAACUUCACAUGGUUGAUCGUUGCUUCGUCGCCUCCACCGAUGAUCAUUUGGAUAGUACGAGCUGGAGAGGGCGGCUUUGGAGGUCCUUGGGGUAGUUAGCAUCCGCGGGCAAAGUUGGAUUGUCCUCAAUCGCUCAUCAGUUUUUUCAAGUGCCCUUGGUUUAACAUUCUCACUACCUCUUGUCGCAGACAUAUGCAAUCCUUGGUUUUGUGACCUCGUUCCUAGUGAAAUUCACAUAGGGCGUUCGACUUCCAAGUAUUUGGGUCGGACUUCAUCUUUUGUGGGCAUUUUACCUUCAUGUCGAGCUUCUCUAGUGCGUACACUCUCAUUAUCAACCUUCAAGAUGUCAAAAGCCAGGGAAAGGUAAGUAUUGGUCCUCACAUGUUUGCGAUUUUGCCCCAUGACCCAUUUCAGCCUUUCAUAUAUUCUUUCCCUCUUCUCAUUGGCCACAGUAGCUUCCUUGAUUUUGAAAUGUAAGUUUUCUUCCAGUUUGAUGAUCUUUUCCAUGGAAGAAGACUCACGUUCAGUUGGUAAAGUCACAACAUCCUGCAGCUCAGCCCACUUGGCCCUCAACUUAGCAUGUUUAGCAUGCAACUGAGUGACCUCCUGGUUAUGGAUCAUUUUUUCUUGCUCAGUUUUCUUCAACCGAGCUUCGAGUUUGCCCAUUUGAGCAAGCCUUGCCUUUAAAGCCUAGAGGAAUUUGGCAACUUGAUCCCGUUCAAUGGUGAUUUGAUCUCAUUGAGUAGCAAGUGCCUCUUUAUCCUAGAUCAACCUCUGUAAGUCCUCGGAUGAGAUCAACCUCCCCGCCUAUAAAGUCGAAGAUUAGAGUUGCAAAAGGCGUUGGUUAGAAAAUAAAAAGAGAAGGAUGAGAUGAUAUAUGAGAACAAAUGUACAUGUUGUUGUUGAUUGAACAUUCUGUGGAGAGAUCGCCCAUUUUUGUCGGUUGGCUACUCCCACCAGUUUAGAAAGCAAAUGGUAUUUAUCUGAAACCAAAAAGGCAGCACUGCAUUUACUCUUAGGGUUUUGGAUGGACACCGGGAAGGAAUUUUCUAUGUUCCCUUGAUCGGGUGAUAGGGGAACGCAUAUUUUCCUCUUGUUCGGUUGGAACCGGUGUCAAGGCAAGAGUUGGUGAAGUAGGAGAUGAUGGAAUUGAAGCGGGAGGAGAAUCAGAAUUGGAACCUUUGUGACAAGAGGAAACAACAACUCCGUAAAGAGUCCGUCUAUGUCCUCUGGUUGAGCGGAGGGAGUUCUUUUUUUGUUCUUCUGUGAAGAGAAAGCGCUUCAUCAUUGUCCUUUAUUUACUCUUCUUAAAGGACCACUUUGGUUGGUCCUUCCGUGAUCUCUUUUAUUAUUGGAGGCUUCUCUUUAGCCUCAGCCUUAGAGGUAUGCUUUCUAUUUUUUUUCCCCUUGGGAUGGGGACUCUAAGAAGAUAUGCCUUCAUGGGAAGCAAGAGCGGCAUCAUGAGCCCUCUUCCAGUCAAGGACUUCUUGAACCCGUUGUUGGGCCACCUUGGGUCAUAUGAAACCAUGAUGGUGGGACAUAUAGUAUAUCCUUUCGGGAGGCCUAUAUGUUGUACAUAGAGGUUAAAAAUUAUCUAUUUCAAGAGUUAAAAGUUAAAAAAGGAAAGAUGAAGUUUUUGUCACCAUGGUUCUUGGCGUUUCAGUUAAACCUAAUUGAAAUUUCCUUUCACUUGUAGGAAUCCAAUGUGGAAGUAUACAAUUUUUUCUGAACUCAUUGGGUUAGGUUCUCAACUAUUAGAGGAAACCAAAAAAAUGGCUAAAAAGAGAAAAUGAAGUUUAGUAAGAGGGGAAUUUCUUUUAAAACAGUAAUAGAAGGAUAGUAAGAAAGCUUACGAGUGUUGUUCCAGGAUUCGGGAAUAGGAGAUGGUGUUGCCAGUAAAAUGUCUUUGAGAGCAACAACAACAAACCUUUCCAUCCAACCACGGUCGUUAUCAUUAUCAACGUUGGUGACAAUGGCAUGGUGAUCACGUUUUCUGAGUUUGAUCAUGCCUCCACGAAAAAUCUUAGGGGCGUAGAAGUUGAUAAUAUAAGCAAGAGUAAUAGUUACUAAGCUCGGGAACACAAGAAUCAAAGGCAAGCCACCAUGCGCCAUAUUGUCGGUCCUACUUGAGUAAGACGGCAAAACUGAAAGAUUAUUGGACCUAUUUCCUUGCCAAGUCUUAAAGUGAAAGGGUACGUGUAAACAUAAAUGUACCCUAGUUCACUGAAUGUAAUCCUUUCCAUUUUAUUGGGGGCUGAAACUUCAAUAUUUAUCCAGCCACAAUCCUCUUUUACAAUAGAAAUACUAGUCGGCCGAAUAAAAGAGGGGUAUAUACUAACAACCAUAUUUCUGUCAUUAUCAGGGUAAGAAGAUUCCUUCUAAAUGUGGAGAUCAUUUGUGCAAGACAACUAAGAAUGGAUGAUAGUGCUUAUAGAGGGAGGUCCGACAUCGGGCUUCUUAUACUUAUUUUUCUUGGAUGGGCCGAUGCCGAUAAAAGUCCCUAUGUAACUGGAGGAAGAAAUAACAGAAGACAUUGUUAUGUAAAGUAUGAAUUUGUAAGUUUUGCUGAGGAAAAGGGAGUUGCAGGAAAGCUUUAGUAAAACACGGAGAAGAAGGUAGCUAAAAAUGAAAGACAAAAGUGGUGAAAAAGGGAGAAGUUUAUAUGCGGCAGAAUGCAAGGCCAUAAUUACCGAGGUAACUGGCAAAAAUACUUGUCGAAUUAUGGGACAACGCAUGUUUAGAUCAUAAAGCAAAGAGAUGUGCGUCAUUUCAAGUGUCAUAAACCGUUCAAGAACUUUUCCGCCAAGAAAAGGUGUCUUAUCUACUUCCUGUUCACAUCAAGUUGAGUCACCAGAAAGUAGGGAGACUAUCUGUAUAGGGUAAAUUUAAUUAAUGACAAAUGGAUGUUUGUCAAGUGAACGAGUGGCAGCAAAGACAAGUAGGACAUGAGUCAACGAACAGCUGACACCAGAUCCAAGUAUGUGAUCGGUGUUAUAUGAAUUUUGAAAACAUCCAGAUCGAGGAGAAGAAUUUGAAAGUAAGAUACCAGUUAAAGAAGGCAUCAUUAAAGGAGCAGUCAUUACAAAGAAUACUACAAUUUACACUUAAUCAUUAUGUAGCUAUUAGGGGGGGUCAUUAUUCACCUUAAAGAGGAGCUUGAUUUGGGGAUCUUGUCUCCCCAAAUUUAGCUAUAAAUACAAAAAUUUGCACUUAUUGAAGGACAUAAAAUACUUGUAUGAAAAAAAGGCUAAUAUUACUCUCUUAUUCUGUUAACAUUAUUUUGCUAAGUACUUUGUUCUUGAUAUUAUUCUUUCUUCUAGAGAAGCGCAAUUCAAGGCUCAAACUCGUAUUUUCUUCAAUUACUCUUAAUUUAUUUGCUUUUUUUCUUUAUUACUUUAUAUUUUGGAUCAAUUUAAUUCACGUGUCUGUACACCACGUUAUAAAUUCAACUAUAACGUUUAUGGAUAAACAGUUAGGCACCCACCAUGGUUCAUAGACAAUUGUAGAAUUACUUUGAUCCAUUCAUCUUUUAUUAACGUAUUUUGAAGCUUUCCAUUAGUAAAGCAAAAAACGAAUAUGGCACCUAAUGAUGUCAACAACUUACUCAAUGUUGGGACAAACAAUGAGCAUGGGGAUAAUUUCCGUGGUGGAGAUCAACACCAUGAUUCGACUAGUGAAACUCACAUCAAUGGAGAUGAGACAACUCUGGUCCAAGAAGAAUGAAAUACUCGACAUGUGAGGAGUCCUACCAUGAUGGUAUGAAUGAUGAACCUAUUUUUGAGAUGGUAAAAGUUUUGAGUGCACAUCAAAGGAAAAUCAUGAACCAUCUCUCAAGAUAGGACCGGAUAAUAACUGAGCUCCAACAGGAACUAUCAGUUGCCUUAAAUAAUUCCAGUGGAGGAGUUUAAGCCCCUCCUAACGUGCCUGCAAAUCAAACAACACAAAGAACCGCUAAUAUCACUUCAAGGGAGGAGUUCAGAUCUAAUGAUAAUCAAGCAUAUUGUGCAGGCAGUGGAUUCGGGAAUGAUAACAACACAAAUGAUCCUUUCAAAAUCAAGCUCAUGAGGUUCAUCAGGGAAAUGAAUGAUCUAAUGGAUCAAAAUGCUAAAGAUUUCCACGCACGGAUAGAUCAGAUCCCUGGGGCACCUCCAGUAUUGAAGGGUCCUAAUUUGAAGAAGUAUACUCAUUUGUCAUUCAAACCAAAUGUUGCCCCGAAGUUUAUUCCAAAGACGUUCAAGUGCCAGAUAUUCCAAUACGAUAGAACUUCGGAUCCGCAGGAGGACAUCAUAACUUAUAAUUUAAUUGUUAAGGGAAAUGAUUUGGGUCAGCAUGAGAUUGAAUCUAUUUUGCUAAAGGAAUUUGGCGAAAUCUUAACAAAAAGGGAGCUCUAACUUGGUAUUAACUCUUACCUGAAUAUUCAGUUGAUCUUUUGAAAUGCUUGCAGAUUCUUUCAUCAAAGAGCAUGUUGGAGUAAAGAAAGCCCAAGCCAGGAAGGCAAAUAUAUUUAGAAUCGCUCAAGGAGAAUCUGAGUUGCUGCGAGAUUUUUUGAUUUGGUUCCAAGGAGGACGUUGUUGUCGGCAGUACCAAAUAAAUAUGGAGAAGAGGAUUUCACCAAAGGCCUCAAUCCUUUAUGCUCGCAUGCCUCGAGGAAGUUGAAGGAAAGCUUAUUGGAAUUUCAGGCAACCACAAGGGCUGAUGUCCAUAAUCUUAAUGAAUCAAAGAUUAGAAUCAAAGAUGAUUAGUUGAAUUCUUCGGUAUCAUCCAAGGGUUGUAAUCGUGAUCAGCAUCAAGAAAAGGUCAAAAAUAAUUAUGAUGCAGACCAGAGAUCUUCCCAAAAUCAUUUACAACCUUAUGUACCAAACGAAAGGUCUAAUGGGCGUGGAGAUAAAAGCUUUAAGUCGUCAGAAAGGUUCAAAUGGGACAGAAGGACUGAUCAUGGUCGGAAUAUCAGGGCUUUGUUGGAAAAAGAGUCAUCGGGCUCGAGAUUCAAGAUAUCCCUAGCCAUCUGAUAAUAAUGUUAAUAUCACUUUACAAGAGUUGGUUACAUCAAGGAAGCAAGGUUCUCUAAUCUAAUUCGAUUAGACCUCAGUCAAGGAGAUCCUAAUUUGUGGUGUGAUUUCCAUGGUACACAUGGUCAUAGAAUUGAGACUACCCACACCUUCAUGAAGAGGUAGCUACACUGUUGAAAAACGGUUACCUUAGAGAAUUUUUGAGUGAUCGGGCUAAAAAUAACUACGGUAGAAGUCGAGAUGGAACGGAACAAGAAAAAGCAGCCAUAGGGUCUCGCCGCCUAACGAUUAACAAGAUUUUUGGUGGGGUUGAAGUAAAUACGGUGACAUUUUCGGCUGCUAAAAAUAUAAAAAUAUCAGUCACUCAUGGGAAGAGAAUUCAGGAAGCAUUAGAAGAUGAUGAAAUUACCUUCACGGAAGAAGAUGCGGAUGCCCUUAUUUUAUUGCACAAUGAUGUUAUAGUAUUAUCUUUAAAUGUUUUAGAUUUUAAAAUUAACAUGUGCUGGUUGACCCACAUAAUUCAACCAAUAUCAUCCAAUUAAGGGUCUUGGAACAAGAAAAGCUGGUCAAAAACAUAGUUUCGAUGAUAAAGCUUCUAGGUGGAUUCAAUCUAAUAAGUGUAACAACCUGAGGAGAGAUCGUGCUGCCUACAUAUGCCAAAGGAUAGAUAAAAU
This 12925-nucleotide long non-coding RNA is filed under the name Nicotiana tabacum (common tobacco). Its description in RNAcentral is "long non-coding RNA (NTAB_LNC009421)". The record is from RNAcentral. Lineage: Eukaryota; Viridiplantae; Streptophyta; Magnoliopsida; Solanales; Solanaceae.